RNAcentral lists this non-coding RNA (89 nucleotides) under Desulfosporosinus sp. Its description in RNAcentral is "c-di-GMP sequence". It matches the Rfam family "c-di-GMP-I riboswitch aptamer". From Rfam's summary of the family: GEMM was predicted in a large-scale screen for bacterial structured RNA regulatory elements. Genes associated with GEMM are involved in a diverse array of functions, including chemotaxis regulation, signal transduction, secretion and chitin. The record is from RNAcentral. Lineage: Bacteria; Bacillati; Bacillota; Clostridia; Eubacteriales; Desulfitobacteriaceae. RNAcentral also lists the same sequence under 1 other name.
AAAUGAUAAAGGCAAACUCGAUGAAAAUCGAGGACGCAAAACUACGAGUCUACAGCUUCAAUAGAGGCCAGGAUAGUCGGGUUGCCAUA